AUUGAACGCUGGCGGCAUGCCUUACACAUGCAAGUCGAACGGCAGCACGGGUGCUUGCACCUGGUGGCGAGUGGCGAACGGGUGAGUAAUACAUCGGAACAUGUCCUGUAGUGGGGGAUAGCCCGGCGAAAGCCGGAUUAAUACCGCAUACGAUCCACGGAUGAAAGCGGGGGACCUUCGGGCCUCGCGCUAUAGGGUUGGCCGAUGGCUAAUUAGCUAGUUGGUGGGGUAAAGGCCUACCAAGGCGACGAUCAGUAGCUGGUCUGAGAGGACGACCAGCCACACUGGGACUGAGACACGGCCCAGACUCCUACGGGAGGCAGCAGUGGGGAAUUUUGGACAAUGGGCGAAAGCCUGAUCCAGCAAUGCCGCGUGUGUGAAGAAGGCCUUCGGGUUGUAAAGCACUUUUGUCCGGAAAGAAAUCCUUGACUCUAAUACAGUCGGGGGAUGACGGUACCGGAAGAAUAAGCACCGGCUAACUACGUG
This 486-nucleotide ribosomal RNA is filed under the name uncultured bacterium. Its description in RNAcentral is "partial 16S ribosomal RNA". It matches the Rfam family "Bacterial small subunit ribosomal RNA", at positions 30 to 507 of the family's 1533-position model. The record is from RNAcentral.